Molecule: ribosomal RNA, 458 nt
Filed under: uncultured bacterium
Lineage: Bacteria
Description: bacterial SSU rRNA
Rfam family: Bacterial small subunit ribosomal RNA
Source: RNAcentral
CCUACGGGAGGCAGCAGUGAGGAAUAUUGGACAAUGGAGGAGACUCUGAUCCAGCCAUGCCGCGUGCAGGAAGAAUGCCCUAUGGGUAGUAAACUGCUUUUAUACGGGAAGAAAAAGAGCUACGUGUAGCUCACUGACGGUACCGUAAGAAUAAGGACCGGCUAACUCCGUGCCAGCAGCCGCGGUAAUACGGAGGGUCCGAGCGUUAUCCGGAAUUAUUGGGUUUAAAGGGUCCGUAGGCGGGCGAUUAAGUCAGUGGUGAAAGUCUGCAGCUCAACUGUAGAAUUGCCUUUGAUACUGAUCGUCUUGAGUUAUGGUGAAGUUGCCGGAAUAUGUAGUGUAGCGGUGAAAUGCAUAGAUAUUACAUAGAACACCGAUUGCGAAGGCAGGUGACUAACUAUAUACUGACGCUGAUGGACGAAAGCGUGGGGAGCGAACAGGAUUAGAUACCCUGGUAG